This is a long non-coding RNA of Bufo bufo (common toad), 2074 nucleotides long. RefSeq lists it as uncharacterized. The record is from RefSeq and is a predicted model, not a curated record. Lineage: Eukaryota; Metazoa; Chordata; Amphibia; Anura; Bufonidae. The transcript has 2 exons.
CUUCUGGUUUAGUAUUUCCAUGGGUGGGGACAAAACAAGUAAAAACCCAUGAGAUUAUAUGACUGUUUAGCGAAGUUCAGCCCGAGAUGAAUGUGAUGAAAGUGUCAGUCGAGUGAAAUAGAGGGCGAAGCGUGAGAGCUGAGCUAGUGGACAUCUGACGGCAACAGAGGAACAACUCCUCCUUCACUGAUUCCCCCCUCCUUAUUUCCUCUGGAGGUUUUUGGCAUAUAAGGCAGAAAAAAUUUGUUUACAACAGACUGGAUGUAGAACACGGAGGACGUAACACAGAGGACCUUGUGAGAUACUGAAAAAACCUGCUUCACCCCCUCAGAAAAAUGGCUGUCAGCACUGCCCAAGUGGGCAACCUCUCCAUCUCCACCCAAGUGAUUCCAGCAGGUGAGAACAAUAUUCCAGGACUUUCCGCUCUGCCUUCAACUAAGAGCUGGACUCAUGCGCUUUCUCAGAAGAAAAAACAGCCCAUUAAGUCGCUGAGUGCCGUGAUCAUCCUCAUUGGGGUGCUGCACUUGUGUGUUGGGGUCUCCAUGUACGUGGCUGAGAAGAAUUACCUGUCACUUGUCUCACGCAGUGGAGCCUUUUUGAUUAGUUUAGUGUUUAUCGCCACUGGAAUCAUCACGGUGGUCUUUGCAAAUGAGGAAAGUAUUUUCAAUAUAAAAAUGUGUCUUAUCAGCCACGUGAUAAACGCCACUUCUGCCGCCAUUGGAAUUGUUUUAUAUGCAAUCCAGGUGCAUACAGAUGCUAACACAUGUUGGACACGCGAGAACUCUACGCCCAACCGCUGCAUUCCGAGUGAUUCAGCUACUUCCUCUCCGGAUUACUAUGGCUACGGGAAUUAUUUCUACAGUUUUGAUAGCUAUGUUCAUACUCUGCGUGUGUCGUUGAACGCUCUGAUACUCUUUUAUAUUAAGGUUGGCCUCACCAUUUCAAGCUGCAUCAUAUUUUUGAAAUGGAAGUCACUCAAAAAAGCCAGAUACACCUUGCUUGGAAACUAAAAUCCGCAGGGAUGGAAGAGGAUACCACAGAUUAUUGCCAUAUACAAAGUGUGUAUUAGGUUUUGUAUGGCAAUAGUGAUGUCAUCAAGGAGCAGUGACAUCCUCGCCCCCCUGAGAACUAAACCACACCUCUCAGUACCACAUCCUUCUUGGACAAAUAUGCAAAUGGUUAACAGAGACACUAACUCCUUCCAGAAAGAAAACCACCGAGCCUCCUCAGAAAUAUUGGGACAGAGUUAUGCAAGCUUCUCACAUCAACCAAUCACAGUGCAGCUUUCAUCUCUUAGACUGCUUUGGUGAAACUAAAGCCGAGCUCUGAUUGGCUGCUAUGGGUAUCGAAGACAAUUUUGGUAAAUGAGGUCUAAUUGCUUCUAAGAGAUGUUAGAGCAGGCCAUGAUGAUUGCCUGCUCAUUGCUACUGUAUGGGGAUGAAUGACCAGUACUACGAUCGUUCUUCGCCAUACAGUUCCAUCGUUUGUCGGCAGUGUUGCCCGUUUAAACAGGGCAAUGCGCUGCUGAAAAGCGACAAUUUUUUCUGCCACAUAAAAGAUGUGAAAACCUGAUAAACAGGAGUUUUUGUAUAAGGGAAUCAGCAGUAGCUUUACAUAGGGCAAUUAUCAGGAAUGAAAGCUCAUUCCCAAUAAUUGCCCCGAUCUUUGGCCCCCCUUUCUGAUGACAACUACUAGAAGAACAUUUCCCCUAAAAUGAAGGAUUCAUCAGUAAACAUACGCCAUUGAUUUGUUAACUCUAAUGGACCCUUUCCUUACUAUAUUUGUAUGUGGGACAGCUUGGUGACAGCCCCUGGGAACUGUAAAGGGACCCUUACUCUGCUGCCACCCAGUUUUCCCAAAAACAGUUUUGGUAAGUGCUUGUUCUGUUAUUAACUUAUGCAGUAUUACAUGCUUUGUAUUCCUGUUAUGUGUUUAAUUAUGAGCAGAAUUUAUAAUCCUGACAAUGAUGAAAUGGUGACGGUAUUACCUCACAAUUCUGAUUGACCGACUUCUUAGGCAGAUGCUAUUUUUCUGUCUGCUUUAGGCUACAUUCACAUGUCCAGCAGCCUGAUCU